UCUGGAGCUGAGAUUCAUCUCGACUGACGUCUGUGAGGUUCUUCAGACUAUAUAUAAUCGGAGUACUCUUUAACUGGAGGGCUUUGUUAUUAUUCUAAUAAUGUGGAGAGUAUCAUUAAUCCUACAUUGGUUAUGAGUCAAGGGAGACUCGUAUUUAUAAGAAGAAAAAAAUUCUUCCCAUGUGAAAUGCUUUUUAAAGGACAAACCUGUGAGGCCCAU
RNAcentral lists this long non-coding RNA (219 nucleotides) under Elaeis guineensis (African oil palm). RNAcentral's name for it is "long non-coding RNA (EGUI_LNC014325)". Lineage: Eukaryota; Viridiplantae; Streptophyta; Magnoliopsida; Arecales; Arecaceae. The record is from RNAcentral.